Molecule: long non-coding RNA, 204 nt
Filed under: Homo sapiens (human)
Lineage: Eukaryota; Metazoa; Chordata; Mammalia; Primates; Hominidae
Description: non-protein coding lnc-LARGE1-6:1
Rfam family: Metazoan signal recognition particle RNA (bases 36-182)
About the family: The signal recognition particle (SRP) is a universally conserved ribonucleoprotein. It is involved in the co-translational targeting of proteins to membranes.
Source: RNAcentral
GUGAAACCCUGUCUAUACUAAAAAUACAAAAAUUAGCCGGGCAUAGUGGCACGUGCCUGUAAUCCCAGCUACCUGGGAGGCUGAGGCAGGAGAAUCGCUGGAACCCAGGAGGCAGAGGGUGCAGUGAGCCGAGAUCAUGCCACUGCACUCCAGCCUGGGUGACAGAGCGAGACCCUGUCUCAAAAAAAAAAAAAAAGAAAAGUA